GCGCCCGUAGCUCAGAGGACAGAGCGUUGGCCUCCGGAGCCAAAGGUCGCAGGUUCGAAUCCUGCCGGGCGCGCCA
Molecule: transfer RNA, 76 nt
Filed under: Pseudomonadota bacterium
Lineage: Bacteria; Pseudomonadati; Pseudomonadota
Also listed under: 2 other names
Description: tRNA-Arg
Rfam family: tRNA
About the family: Transfer RNA (tRNA) molecules are approximately 80 nucleotides in length.
Source: RNAcentral